RNAcentral lists this ribosomal RNA (496 nucleotides) under Listeria monocytogenes. RNAcentral's name for it is "bacterial SSU rRNA". It matches the Rfam family "Bacterial small subunit ribosomal RNA", at positions 32 to 509 of the family's 1533-position model. The record is from RNAcentral. Lineage: Bacteria; Bacillati; Bacillota; Bacilli; Caryophanales; Listeriaceae.
AACGCUGGCGGCGUGCCUAAUACAUGCAAGUCGAACGAACGGAGGAAGAGCUUGCUCUUCCAAAGUUAGUGGCGGACGGGUGAGUAACACGUGGGCAACCUGCCUGUAAGUUGGGGAUAACUCCGGGAAACCGGGGCUAAUACCGAAUGAUAAAGUGUGGCGCAUGCCACGCUUUUGAAAGAUGGUUUCGGCUAUCGCUUACAGAUGGGCCCGCGGUGCAUUAGCUAGUUGGUAGGGUAAUGGCCUACCAAGGCAACGAUGCAUAGCCGACCUGAGAGGGUGAUCGGCCACACUGGGACUGAGACACGGCCCAGACUCCUACGGGAGGCAGCAGUAGGGAAUCUUCCGCAAUGGACGAAAGUCUGACGGAGCAACGCCGCGUGUAUGAAGAAGGUUUUCGGAUCGUAAAGUACUGUUGUUAGAGAAGAACAAGGAUAAGAGUAACUGCUUGUCCCUUGACGGUAUCUAACCAGAAAGCCACGGCUAACUACGUGCC